RNAcentral lists this long non-coding RNA (1248 nucleotides) under Marmota monax (woodchuck). Lineage: Eukaryota; Metazoa; Chordata; Mammalia; Rodentia; Sciuridae. The record is from RNAcentral.
GUGAUCAGUUUGAAAACACAAACGUAAAACAUUUUUUACAAAAGAUUCAUAGGUCUUCAAAAUGCCCUUGUCUUGAACUCAGCACCUGGGCUGAGAAAGGCCAACCCAGCCUGCCCUCUCCUGGAUCUAAACUGCAGAGAAGAUCUAUGCCCAUAUUUGCUGUGUGUCAUCAUGUUUUCUUUCAGCUGUGGUAGACUUCAUGCCAUGUGACUGUGACCACGCAUGACAAAGCCUGUGUCCCUUCCACCUUCACUGGACAGUGAGCCUAAACCCGUGUGAGCGGUUCUGUGUGUGGUUUCCAUUUGGUCCCAGUAGGCCGCUCAGAUGUUUUCUCAGCUGCAGAAAUCUUGAAAUACUAAGCCACUUCAGGCAGAGCCUUCACUUCCGUCCCAGCCAGACCCAGGAAACCGCUCCCUUGGACACCAGUGCAGAGCCUUGGAGGGUCAGGCGUCUGUUUGAUGCCCAGGAACAGUGAGCCCACCCUCUGUUCGUCUAAGCCAUGCUUCUCAGAAGAAGGAGUUGGCAUUGGACAGUGUCGCUUGUGUCCCGAUGGGCCGUCUGGCACCCUGUGGGACUUUUAGCCCCUGGGACCUGCCGGCUAAAUGCCAGCAGCGCCCGAGUGAUGGUGACAGCGCAUCUGCCCUCCGUGUUUCCAGACACCCCGAGGCCUGGCUCCGCUGCUUGCUUGGGAGCCCCUCUCCUGAAGCUGUAGACUUAGUUUCUGUUUCUGGUGAGUAAGAGCCUGAGACUGGACAGAGUUCAGCUGCAACCCCAGAACCACCCUCCUUGGAGAAGGACCAGCCUCAGGUUCACUCUCUGGAAUCAGAGAGGAUGGCAGGUGGCCUUCUCCACGGGGGCCCAGGAGUCAGGGGAACCAUGCAUACUCCCUUCCCUCCCCUUACCUGUCAGCGUGACUUGCUCUUUGGUGACUUUCUGUGUUUUGCUUUGGGCAUCGAUGGCACCUGCAGAACAGUCAUCAGCUUUGGUGGCACGUGCUCCUUCUGGUAAAUGGGAAUGAGAACAGUGGAAGGGAGAUGGACGACCUUCAGAGUCUUUCUCGUUGUUGGGUGAAUCUUUAUCCGUGGUCUGAAGAGAGCCCAGUGGGCUUGUGUGAGCAGCUGGGGUCUGACGGGCACGUGACCCACACUGUGCUCCCAGCUUGGCCACUAGAUGAGCUCUGCCCUGGCCCAGAUUAGCACACCUCGGCUUCACAGUGGAGAGAGGGCAGGAGUCAGAUGGGAAGGCCCU